AGCAGCCGCGGUAAUUCCAGUUCCAAUAGCGUAUAUUAAAGUUGUUGCAGUUAAAAAGCUCGUAGUUGAAUUUCGGGAUCAAGGAAUCGGUCAUGCCUCGGUAUGUACUGGUUUUAUUGGUUCUCACCUUCUAAAGAACCAUGAUGUCAUUCAUUUGAUGUUAUGGGGAAUUAGGACUGUUACCUUGAAAAAAUUAGAGUGUUUAAAGCAGGCUCACGCUUGAAUACAUUAGUAUGGAAUAAUGAAAUAGGACGUUUGAUUCUAUUUUGUUGGUUUCUAGGAUCGACGUAAUGAUUAAUAGGGAUAGUUGGGGGCAUUAGUAUUCAAUUGUCAGAGGUGAAAUUCUUGGAUUUAUUGAAGACUAACUACUGCGAAAGCAUUUGCCAAGGAUGUUUUCAUUAAUCAAGAACGAAAGUUAGGGGAUCGAAGACGAUCAGAUACCGUCGUAGUCUUAACCAUAAACUAUGCCGACUAGGGAUCGGAUGAUGUUAAUUUUUAAUGACUCAUUCGGCGCCUUAAC
Molecule: ribosomal RNA, 520 nt
Filed under: uncultured Glomus
Lineage: Eukaryota; Fungi; Glomeromycota; Glomeromycetes; Glomerales; Glomeraceae
Description: SSU rRNA
Rfam family: Eukaryotic small subunit ribosomal RNA
Source: RNAcentral